GACGAACGCUGGCGGCGUGCUUAACACAUGCAAGUCGAGCGGUAAGGCCCUUUCGGGGGUACGACGAGCGGCGAACGGGUAGGAGUAACAACGUGGGUGGACCUCGCCCUCCAGCUCUGGGAGUAAGCCUGGGAAACCGGGUACGUAUACUGGAGUAUGACUCCAUGACGCAUGUUGUGGGGUGGGAAAGACCUUGUGCGGCUGAGGA
RNAcentral lists this ribosomal RNA (208 nucleotides) under uncultured bacterium. RNAcentral's name for it is "partial 16S ribosomal RNA". It matches the Rfam family "Bacterial small subunit ribosomal RNA", at positions 28 to 225 of the family's 1533-position model. The record is from RNAcentral.